CAGUGGCGAAGGCGGCUCACUGGCUCGAUACUGACGCUGAGGUGCGAAAGCGCGGGGAGCAAACAGGAUUAGAUACCCUGGUAGUCCGCGCCGUAAACGAUGAAUGCCAGACGUCGGGCAGCAUGCUGUUCGGUGUCACACCUAACGGAUUAAGCAUUCCGCCUGGGGAGUACGGCCGCAAGGUUAAAACUCAAAGGAAUUGACGGGGGCCCGCACAAGCGGUGGAGCAUGUGGUUUAAUUYGAAGCAACGCGCAGAACCUUACCAACCCUUGACAUGUGGAUYGUAGUUCCGAGAGAUCGGUUYGUCAGUUYGGCUGGAUCCAACACAGGUGCUGCAUGGCUGUCGUCAGCUYGUGUCGUGAGAUGUUYGGUUAAGUCCGGCAACGAGCGCAACCCACACCCUUAGUUGCCAGCAGUUYGGCUGGGCACUCUAGGGGAACUGCCCGUGAUAAGCGGGAGGAAGGUGUGGAUGACGUCAAGUCCUCAUGGCCCUUACGGGUUGGGCUACACACGUGCUACAAUGGCAUCUACAGAGGGUUAAUCCCAAAAAGAUGUCUCAGUUYGGAUUGUCGUCUGCAACUYGACGGCAUGAAGUCGGAAUCGCUAGUAAUCGUGGAACAGCAUGCCACGGUGAAUACGUUCCCGGGCCUUGUACACACCGCCCGUAAUCCCGCGGCC
Molecule: ribosomal RNA, 679 nt
Filed under: uncultured bacterium
Lineage: Bacteria
Description: bacterial SSU rRNA
Rfam family: Bacterial small subunit ribosomal RNA
Source: RNAcentral